RNAcentral lists this unclassified non-coding RNA (228 nucleotides) under Brevicellicium olivascens. Its description in RNAcentral is "partial contains 5.8S ribosomal RNA, internal transcribed spacer 2, and large subunit ribosomal RNA". Lineage: Eukaryota; Fungi; Basidiomycota; Agaricomycetes; Trechisporales; Hydnodontaceae. The record is from RNAcentral.
CGCACCUUGCGCCCGUUGGCUAUUCCGACGGGCAUGCCUGUUUGAGUGUCUUGAAAUCAUCGUGCCUUUGUUGGUAACGGACUUGGGGGCUGCUGCCGAGAGGCGGCUCCCCCGGAAUGCAUGGCUUAUGCGGCGUUGUAACUCCUCGCUGUCGGAAAGCCGUCUCCCGAGACGACCCAUCUUAUGAAAUCUGACCUCAAAUCAGGUAGGACUACCCGCUGAACUUAA